GGAUAUUUGAAAACAGAUCGAAUUACACGGUUAAGUCAAUGAAAAAAAGGAGCUGGGGCCUUUGGUCUGCAUCAUCAUCAUCAUCAGCAUCAGCUCCCGUUUCAGCACAGCAUAGUAGUAGUUUGGUGGAAUGCAGCUGCCGGAAAAGCCUAAACUUAUCUGCUUUUAAAAUCGGUUUCUCUUAGUUAUUGAGUACAAAGAGGAAGAGUAAAGAUGCGGUUCUCUUAGAUGAAUUUUGCUGAUAUAUAUAUAUAGAGAGAGAGA
Molecule: unclassified non-coding RNA, 264 nt
Filed under: Hevea brasiliensis (rubber tree)
Lineage: Eukaryota; Viridiplantae; Streptophyta; Magnoliopsida; Malpighiales; Euphorbiaceae
Source: RNAcentral